RNAcentral lists this ribosomal RNA (362 nucleotides) under uncultured bacterium. Its description in RNAcentral is "bacterial SSU rRNA". It matches the Rfam family "Bacterial small subunit ribosomal RNA", at positions 444 to 793 of the family's 1533-position model. The record is from RNAcentral.
AUCGUAGUUAAUAGCUGCGGUAUUUGACGUUAGCUGCAGAAGAAGCACCGGCGUAACUCCGUGCCAGCAGCCGCGGUAAUACGGAGGGUGCGAGCGUUAAUCGGAAUUACUGGGCGUAAAGCGCAUGCAGGUGGUUUGUUUAAGUUCAGAUGUGAAAGACCCGGGGCGUCAACCUCGGAAUUGCAUUUGAAACUAGGCAGACUAGAGUACUGUAGAGGGGGGUAGGGAAGUUUACUAGGUGUAGCGGUGAAAUAGCGUAGAGAUCUGAAGGAAUAACCGGUGGCGAAGGCGGCCCCCUCGGACAGAUACUGACACUCAGAUGCGAAAGCGUGGGGAGCAAACAGGAUUAGAUACCCUGGUAG